This 898-nucleotide ribosomal RNA is filed under the name Mucilaginibacter sp. RNAcentral describes it as "bacterial SSU rRNA". It matches the Rfam family "Bacterial small subunit ribosomal RNA", at positions 89 to 995 of the family's 1533-position model. The record is from RNAcentral. Lineage: Bacteria; Pseudomonadati; Bacteroidota; Sphingobacteriia; Sphingobacteriales; Sphingobacteriaceae.
AUGAGAGUGGCGCACGGGUGCGUAACACGUAUGUAACCUACCUUAGUCAGGGGGAUAGCCUCUCGAAAGAGAGAUUAAGACCGCAUAACAUCAUUUACUGGCAUCGUAUAAUAAUCAAAUAUUUAUAGGACUAAGAUGGGCAUGCGCAACAUUAGCUAGUUGGUGUGGUAACGGCAUACCAAGGCUACGAUGUUUAGGGGAUCUGAGAGGAUGACCCCCCACACUGGUACUGAGACACGGACCAGACUCCUACGGGAGGCAGCAGUAAGGAAUAUUGGUCAAUGGACGGAAGUCUGAACCAGCCAUGCCGCGUGCAGGAAGACGGCCCUACGGGUUGUAAACUGCUUUUGCAGGGGAAUAAACCUCAUUACGUGUAAUGAGUUGAAUGUACCUUGAGAAUAAGGAUCGGCUAACUCCGUGCCAGCAGCCGCGGUAAUACGGAGGAUCCAAGCGUUAUCCGGAUUUAUUGGGUUUAAAGGGUGCGUAGGCGGCUUUUUAAGUCAGGGGUGAAAGACGGUAGCUCAACUAUCGCAGUGCCCUUGAUACUGAAGAGCUUGAAUGUACUUGAGGUAGGCGGAAUGUGACAAGUAGCGGUGAAAUGCAUAGAUAUGUCACAGAACACCAAUUGCGAAAGGCAGCUUACUAAAGUAUGAUUGACGCUGAGGCACGAAAGCGUGGGGGAUCAAACAGGAUUAGAUACCCUGGUAGUCCACGCCCUAAACGAUGAACACUCGAUGUUGGCGAUAUACGGUCAGCGUCUAAGCGAAGCGUUAAGUGUUCCACCUGGGGAGUACGCCCGCAAGGAUGAAACUCAAGGAGUUGACGGGGCCGCACAGCGAGAGCAUGUGAUUAUUCGAUGAUACGCGAGCAUCAUUAGCUGGACUGUAAAGUAGUGCAA